This 280-nucleotide ribosomal RNA is filed under the name Stephanopyxis turris. RNAcentral's name for it is "partial Bacterial large subunit ribosomal RNA". It matches the Rfam family "Bacterial large subunit ribosomal RNA", at positions 766 to 1044 of the family's 2925-position model. Lineage: Eukaryota; Bacillariophyta; Melosirophyceae; Stephanopyxales; Stephanopyxidaceae. The record is from RNAcentral.
CUCGAGGUCCGAACCCACUAAUGUUGAAAAAUUAGGGGAUGAGCUGUGGGUAGGGGUGAAAGGCUAAACAAACUUGGAAAUAGCUGGUUCUCUCCGAAAACUAUUUAGGUAGUGCCUCAAGUAUCACCAUCGGGGGUAGAGCACUGUUAUGGCUAGGGGGUCAUUGCGACUUACCAAACCAUUGCAAACUCCGAAUACCGAUGAGUGCGAGCUUGGGAGACAGACGUCGGGUGCUAACGUCCGGCGUCAAGAGGGAAACAACCCAGACCGCCAGCUAAGG